This 468-nucleotide ribosomal RNA is filed under the name uncultured bacterium. RNAcentral describes it as "partial 16S ribosomal RNA". It matches the Rfam family "Bacterial small subunit ribosomal RNA", at positions 28 to 507 of the family's 1533-position model. The record is from RNAcentral.
GAUGAACGCUGGCGGCGUGCUUAACACAUGCAAGUCGAACGGAAAGGCCAUGCUUUUGUGGGGUGCUCGUGUGGCGAACGGGUGAGUAAAACGCGUGUAAAAUGCACUUGUAUUUGGGAUAAAUUCAGGAAACUGGGGCUAAUACCGGAUAGGAGCUCUUGCUGCACGGUGGGGGUUGGAAAGAUUCGGCGGUUGUGGCUGGACUAGCUGCUUAUCAGCUUGUUGGGGGGGUAGUGGCUUACCAAGGCUUCGAAGGGUAGCCGGCCUGAGAGGGUGACCGGCCACAUGAGGACUGAGGUACGGCGCAGUAUCGUACGUGAGGCAGCAGGGGAGAACAUUGCACAAUAAGCGGAAGUCUGAGGCAGCAGCGCCGCGUGCGGAAUGACGUCCUUCGGGUUAUAAACCACUUUCGCAUUUGACGAGGCGGUAUUGACGGUAACGAGUAAAGAAGCACCGGCUAACUACGUG